This 269-nucleotide ribosomal RNA is filed under the name uncultured Planctomycetales bacterium. RNAcentral's name for it is "partial 16S ribosomal RNA". It matches the Rfam family "Bacterial small subunit ribosomal RNA", at positions 565 to 832 of the family's 1533-position model. Lineage: Bacteria; Pseudomonadati; Planctomycetota; Planctomycetia; Planctomycetales. The record is from RNAcentral.
GAGCACGUAGGUGGGUUUGUAAGUCAGAUGUGAAAGCCUUCUGUUCAACGGAAGAAUCGCAUCUGAAACUGGGAGUCUUGAGUGUAGGAGGGGAGAAUGGAACUUCUGGUGGAGCGGUGAAAUGCGUAGAUAUCAGAAGGAACUCCGGCGGCGAAAGCGAUUCUCUGGCCUAUUACUGACACUCAGUGUGCGAAAGCUAGGGGAGCAAACGGGAUUAGAUACCCCGGUAGUCCUAGCCGUAAACGAUGGGCACUAAGUAGAGGGGUUUU